Molecule: ribosomal RNA, 380 nt
Filed under: uncultured eukaryote
Lineage: Eukaryota
Description: partial 18S ribosomal RNA
Rfam family: Eukaryotic small subunit ribosomal RNA
Source: RNAcentral
CAAUAGCGUAUAUUAAAGUUGUUGCAGUUAGAACGCUCGUAGUCGGAUUUCGGGGCGUUCCGACCGGUCUGCCGAUGGGUAUGCACUGGCCGGAGUGUCCUUUUUGCCGGAGACCGUGCCUACUCUUAACUGAGCGGGGGCGGGAGACGGCACUUUUACUUUGAAAAAAUCAGAGUGUUUCAAGCAGGCAGCUCGCUCUUGCAUGGAUUAGCAUGGGAUAAUGAAAUAGGACUUUGGUGCUAUUUUGUUGGUUUCGAACACCGAAGUAAUGAUGAGAAGGGACAGUCAGGGGCACUCGUAUUCCGCAGAGAGAGGUGAAAUUCUCAGACCCGCGGAAGACGAACCACUGCGAAAGCAUUUGCCGGGGAUGUUUNCACUGA